GUGGGGAAUUUUGGACAAUGGGCGCAAGCCUGAUCCAGCAAUGCCGCGUGCAGGAAGAAGGCCUUCGGGUUGUAAACUGCUUUUGUACGGAACGAAAAGGCUCUGGUUAAUACCUGGGGCUCAUGACGGUACCGUAAGAAUAAGCACCGGCUAACUACGUGCCAGCAGUCGCGGUAAUACGUAGGGUGCGAGCGUUAAUCGGAAUUACUGGGCGUAAAGCGUGCGCAGGCGGUUCUGUAAGACAGGCGUGAAAUCCCCGGGCUCAACCUGGGAAUUGCGCUUGGGACUGCAGUGCUGGAGUGCGGCAGAGGGGGAUGGAAUUCCGCGUGUAGCAGUGAAAUGCGUAGAUAUGCGGAGGAACACCGAUGGCGAAGGCAAUCCCCUGGGCCUGCACUGACGCUCAUGCACGAAAGCGUGGGGAGCAAACAGGAUUAGAAACCCCGGUAGUCC
RNAcentral lists this ribosomal RNA (450 nucleotides) under uncultured bacterium. RNAcentral describes it as "partial 16S ribosomal RNA". It matches the Rfam family "Bacterial small subunit ribosomal RNA", at positions 354 to 796 of the family's 1533-position model. The record is from RNAcentral.